GGAGGGUGCAAGCGUUAUCCGGAUUCACUGGGUUUAAAGGGUGCGUAGGUGGACAUGUAAGUCAGUGGUGAAAUCCCCGAGCUUAACUUGGGAACUGCCGUUGAUACUAUAUGUCUUGAAUAUCGUGGAGGUAAGCGGAAUAUGUCAUGUAGCGGUGAAAUGCAUAGAUAUGACAUAGAACACCUAUAGCGAAGGCAGCUUGCUACACGAUCAUUGACACUGAGGCACGAAAGCGUGGGGAGCAAACAGGAUUAGAUACCCUGGUAGUCCACGCCCUAAACGAUGAUUACUCGACAUCAGCGAUACACUGUUGGUGUCUGAGCGAAAGCAUUAAGUAAUCCACCUGGGAAGUACGACCGCAAGGUUGAA
This 369-nucleotide ribosomal RNA is filed under the name uncultured bacterium. RNAcentral's name for it is "bacterial SSU rRNA". It matches the Rfam family "Bacterial small subunit ribosomal RNA", at positions 527 to 898 of the family's 1533-position model. The record is from RNAcentral.